Long non-coding RNA from Plodia interpunctella (Indianmeal moth), 1431 nucleotides. RefSeq lists it as uncharacterized. The record is from RefSeq and is a predicted model, not a curated record. NCBI's taxonomy places the organism in Eukaryota, Metazoa, Arthropoda, Insecta, Lepidoptera, Pyralidae. The transcript has 2 exons.
UGACCAAUGAUUGGGUUUAACUUAGUGAAAGUCCCUCGGAAGUUAUCGAGAAUUUAUUUCAAUCGGGAGAAAACGACAGUGACGUGAAAAUUUGACUUGUGAAGUUUUGACUUUGACAUAAUGACAUCUGCUGAUCUGAUCAUCAGCUGGUGUGUUUGUUUUUCAAUGUUGUGAUUCUUGUGUUUAUAAAUGAAUUAAUUAGCGCAAAACAAGAAUUGUCACAUUAAAAGAAAAAAGUUGUGUUGUUCAUUGUUAUAUAUUGUAUUUGUAACAUAUUUAAAGAAGUUUGUCAUGGAAAUCAGAAGCGAAGAUUUUCAGUGUCCUAUUUUCGGGUUUGUAGAAGAUAUUAGAGACGAUAAUGUUUUACCGACCUACGAAGAUGUUAUGAAGUGUUACAGAUGGAAUAGAAUACAACUUAGAAUUAUUAGAAAGACUAACAAAGAAGCCGUGAUUUUUAGAUAUUGCUAAGCCAGUGUGUCAAAGAGUAGAAGAAAUUGGAGGAAAUCAUCUCUGCCUAUAGUUUCUCACCAAAUAAUCUUUCAGUUGGUGAAAUUUUACCAUUUAAAAUGUCUGAAACUUAUGAAAACACUGAAAAGACUGACUUAUGAACGCAAAAACCUUUUUGUACAGAAGAGUUAAAGCAUUGUUUGACAUUUGUUAGUGUAAAUGUAAAGAAAUUGAAGUUUGCAGUUGUCCAAUAGAAAUAAGGGUACCAAUAGAAAAGCAGAAGUUUUUGUUGGAGCAAAGACAGGUUAAAAACUUUUUUUUUGUUGGUGUAGACAGUUUUGUUACAGAAAAUUUACCAGUAAACUCAAAGCAAGCUUCAAACAUUUACGACGAAAAAGAAAUUUAUAAAAUGUAAAAACACAAGAUUUAUUGUCAUAUCCAAGUGACUGUGAAGGCAGUAGAUCAUCUAGAAAGCUAAACCCACCUUCCAUUUUACACAGAAAUAAGAAAACAAAAUCAGUGAAACGAUUGCCUACAGUAGCAAAAACAUGCAACCGCUAUGGUAUGUCUGAUGUAGUUGCAGCUGAGAUUGUGUCAGCAGUAUUGCAUGAUAUUUCUUCAGAUUUUCAGCAGCAACACAUCUAUGUUAUUAAGAGAUAAAAAAAGUGUAUUAAUAGUAUCCAAAGAGCAAUUCCAGAAAACUGAUGUGUUAGUAUGAGUCAGUCCAUGACAAAUAUUAUAAUCAGAAGGAUUAAUAAAAGUGACACUGGAGACAAUAAAAGUGAUUUUGUAAUCAAUAAGUGAUAUAUUAUUUUUACAGUAUUUUCUUACAAAUAAAUUUUAGCAAUCACUACAAAUUUUUGCUACCUACUUGUUUUGUUUUCUUUAUAGUUAGUUUAUUUUUAUAGCAUGCCAGUUGCCAUUGGCCAUAAGACAAUAUUAUGUAAUGAUUUGUUCUGUGCCCCUUGAGUAAUUAUUAAAUAA